GACAGAGGGUGCAAACGUUGUUCGGAAUUACUGGGCGUAAAGCGAGUGUAGGCGGUUUGGUAAGUCGGAUGUGAAAGCCCCGGGCUCAACCCGGGAAGUGCACUCGAUACUGCCAAGCUAGAGUAUCGGAGAGGUUGGUGGAAUUCUCGGUGUAGAGGUGAAAUUCGUAGAUAUCGAGAGGAACACCGGUGGCGAAGGCGGCAUCCUGGACCGGCAUUGACGCUGAGGCGCGAAAGCUAGGGGAGCAAACGGG
RNAcentral lists this ribosomal RNA (253 nucleotides) under uncultured bacterium. Its description in RNAcentral is "partial 16S ribosomal RNA". It matches the Rfam family "Bacterial small subunit ribosomal RNA", at positions 524 to 776 of the family's 1533-position model. The record is from RNAcentral.